AUGUAAUGUAAUUAUGUAGCAGAAUUAAUUUUAUUUAUUUAUUUUAUUUUCCUUUAUGAACCUUCUCAAAACUAAUUUUCUUUGAAUUGACAUGUCUGUAAUAUAUUAUUUCUGUUUUAUCUUGCUUUCAUUUUUGGCCCCUAGUGUGUAAAAGGCCAUCCUCAUCUAUGAAUAUUGGUUUUCCUUUGUUUUUUAAUUGUAUUUUGUUUUGGUGGGGAAGCUUUUAUUUUCUUACUUCCUGUUUGUGCGCUACAUCCUGUGUGUUCCCGCUGCCCUCCUCAGUUCGCGCCAAGCUGCGCUGGGGAGAGGGUGUUUGGAGAAUCCGAAGCCCAGGAGCUGCUGUGCUUAAAAUGUUCUUGUUUUGAACAGGAAUAAAAUUAUCCUGAAUCCUG
Long non-coding RNA from Xiphophorus couchianus (Monterrey platyfish), 392 nucleotides. RefSeq lists it as uncharacterized. NCBI's taxonomy places the organism in Eukaryota, Metazoa, Chordata, Actinopteri, Cyprinodontiformes, Poeciliidae. The record is from RefSeq and is a predicted model, not a curated record. The transcript is spliced from 2 exons.